RNAcentral lists this ribosomal RNA (492 nucleotides) under uncultured bacterium. RNAcentral describes it as "partial 16S ribosomal RNA". It matches the Rfam family "Bacterial small subunit ribosomal RNA", at positions 29 to 507 of the family's 1533-position model. The record is from RNAcentral.
AGUGAACGCUGGCGGUAGGCCUAACACAUGCAAGUCGAACGGCAGCACAGUAAGAGCUUGCUCUUACGGGUGGCGAGUGGCGGACGGGUGAGGAAUACAUCGGAAUCUACUUUUUCGUGGGGGAUAACGUAGGGAAACUUACGCUAAUACCGCAUACGACCUACGGGUGAAAGCAGUGGAUCUUCGGACCUUGCGCGAUUGAAUGAGCCGAUGUCGGAUUAGCUAGUUGGCGGGGUAAAGGCCCACCAAGGCGACGAUCCGUAGCUGGUCUGAGAGGAUGGUCAGCCACACUGGAACUGAGACACGGUCCAGACUCCUACGGGAGGCAGCAGUGGGGAAUAUUGGACAAUGGGCGCAAGCCUGAUCCAGCCAUACCGCGUGGGUGAAGAAGGCCUUCGGGUUGUAAAGCCCUUUUGUUGGGAAAGAAAAGCAGCAGGUUAAUACCCCGCUGUUCUGACGGUACCCAAAGAAUAAGCACCGGCUAACUUCGUG